GCUUCUGUGGCGCAGUGGUUUAGCGCAUCGUGCUUAUAACGCGAUGGUCGUGGGUUCGAACCCCUCCAGAAGCA
Molecule: transfer RNA, 74 nt
Filed under: Komagataella phaffii GS115
Lineage: Eukaryota; Fungi; Ascomycota; Pichiomycetes; Pichiales; Pichiaceae
Also listed under: 1 other name
Description: tRNA-Ile (TAT) (tRNA-Ile-TAT-1-1)
Rfam family: tRNA
About the family: Transfer RNA (tRNA) molecules are approximately 80 nucleotides in length.
Source: RNAcentral